RNAcentral lists this ribosomal RNA (453 nucleotides) under uncultured bacterium. RNAcentral's name for it is "bacterial SSU rRNA". It matches the Rfam family "Bacterial small subunit ribosomal RNA", at positions 335 to 784 of the family's 1533-position model. The record is from RNAcentral.
ACUCCUACGGGAGGCAGCAGUGGGGAAUAUUGCACAAUGGGCGCAAGCCUGAUGCAGCCAUGCCGCGUGUAUGAAGAAGGCCUUCGGGUUGUAAAGUACUUUCAGCAGUGAGGAAGGUGGGUAUGUUAAUAGCAUACUCAUUUGACGUUAGCUGCAGAAGAAGCACCGGCUAACUCCGUGCCAGCAGCCGCGGUAAUACGGAGGGUGCGAGCGUUAAUCGGAAUUACUGGGCGUAAAGCGCAUGCAGGUGGUUUGUUAAGUCAGAUGUGAAAGCCCGGGGCUCAACCUCGGAAUUGCAUUUGAAACUGGCAAACUAGAGUACUGUAGAGGGGGUAGAAUUUCAGGUGUAGCGGUGAAAUGCGUAGAGAUCUGAAGGAUACCGGUGGCGAAGGCGGCCCCUGGACAGAUACUGACACUCAGAUGCGAAAGCGUGGGAGCAAACAGGAUUAGAUA